Pygocentrus nattereri (red-bellied piranha) is the source of this 252-nucleotide long non-coding RNA. RefSeq lists it as uncharacterized. The record is from RefSeq and is a predicted model, not a curated record. NCBI's taxonomy places the organism in Eukaryota, Metazoa, Chordata, Actinopteri, Characiformes, Serrasalmidae. The transcript is spliced from 3 exons.
GGGUGGUCCAAGAGUGGACCAUAAGUGCCAAACAGCCGGCCGGGUGCCAACCUCAUCAAGACAGGAGCAGCUCCAUUCCUGCAGGCGCCACGACGUACCUGGUUCACCAUUUAAGGUGGAACGGAUAAUUCGAAGAGGAGAACAUGUGGAGGAGAAACUGUGUUUAAUUUAGGCGUUGAGUCUCCUCCUGCGGCUCUCUGGCUUUGGGAGAGCAGGCGGUGACGGGCUGGACUUCAGAGACGAGGCCAUCUU